ACCAUGAGAGAUGCUAAAGAGAGGACUCGGGAUAAUUGCUCCUCCCUGGAAAUCUUCCUUUUGAUGGCUUCUCCCAGCUUGACCUCUAACUGGCAGGUUGGGACCAAACUCCAGGAUGCAUAUGAGCCAUCUGGGAUCAUGCCAACCGGAGCAACAUCCCAGAAGUGGUGAAGCAACAAGAGAGAAGCAGCCUGGGUGCCGGAACACUGCAGGGAACCAGCCACCAAAACAGCUCUGGACAACUGCCCUGUGGACUGCAGCAUGAGAAAGGAGUAAAAUUCUAUUUGGCUUAAGGCC
Molecule: long non-coding RNA, 297 nt
Organism: Galeopterus variegatus (Sunda flying lemur)
Lineage: Eukaryota; Metazoa; Chordata; Mammalia; Dermoptera; Cynocephalidae
Exons: 2
Source: RefSeq, a predicted model, not a curated record